AGGGGGGGCAGCAGGCGCGAAACCUCCGCAAUGUGAGAAAUCGCGACGGGGGGAUCCCAAGUGCCAUUCUUAACGGGAUGGCUUUUCAUUAGUGUAAAGAGCUUUUGGAAUAAGAGCUGGGCAAGACCGGUGCCAGCCGCCGCGGUAAUUC
This 151-nucleotide ribosomal RNA is filed under the name uncultured bacterium. RNAcentral describes it as "partial 16S ribosomal RNA". It matches the Rfam family "Archaeal small subunit ribosomal RNA", at positions 325 to 476 of the family's 1478-position model. The record is from RNAcentral.